GGCCUUGUAGCUCAGUUGGCUAGAGCGUUGACUGUACAAAAGCCUUUCCCUUGCUGGCGUGGGUUCGAAUCCCACCGAGGCCG
This 83-nucleotide transfer RNA is filed under the name Schistocephalus solidus. It matches the Rfam family "tRNA". Rfam says of the family: Transfer RNA (tRNA) molecules are approximately 80 nucleotides in length. Their secondary structure includes four short double-helical elements and three loops (D, anti-codon, and T loops). Lineage: Eukaryota; Metazoa; Platyhelminthes; Cestoda; Diphyllobothriidea; Diphyllobothriidae. The record is from Rfam by way of RNAcentral.